AGGCCGGCCACUUCCUUUCCCUGCAGCGCCCGGGAGCGUGAGCAGCGCGGGCGGCAUGGCGGGCAGCGGAGGCCCCGGGCGGCGGAACCCGGCCUGCCCUCGGGCUCAUCCAGGUGCAACAGCUGUCUCUUUUGAAGGUCCUUGACAACUGUUUUCUGAAAACUUGUCAUGGAAAGUGAUUGAACAAGUUACCAGGACCACAGUUGCCAGUAACAAGCAUGUAGGUGGCGGGAGAUGAAUGUCCAACUUGAGUAUCUGCGAUGUUUGAAAACACGUUGUUUUGUUGGGUGCAGUACAUUUUGGAAUGUAAAAUGAAGACUUGGUCAAGAAACUGUGAACAGAAGCAAAUGAUGAAAAUGAGUUAAACAAGUUAUAUAGAAAUAAACAAUUCUAAGUGC
Molecule: long non-coding RNA, 398 nt
Organism: Psammomys obesus (fat sand rat)
Lineage: Eukaryota; Metazoa; Chordata; Mammalia; Rodentia; Muridae
Exons: 4
Source: RefSeq, a predicted model, not a curated record